Molecule: long non-coding RNA, 965 nt
Organism: Salvia miltiorrhiza (redroot sage)
Lineage: Eukaryota; Viridiplantae; Streptophyta; Magnoliopsida; Lamiales; Lamiaceae
Exons: 2
Source: RefSeq, a predicted model, not a curated record
UGACACUUAAGCUAUUUUUGACAUGUGGACAAAAUGAAAAUAAAAUAAAAUAAAAAGAAAAAUAAUGUGACAUAAUAAACCCCUCCCUCCCACAUCUUCUUCCCCCUUCCCUCAUUUCCCCCACCCAGCACCGCCCCCUGCCACCAUCAUACGCCGGCGCCCGCCGCCCCCUCCCCUUCCCCCACCAUCCGCCCCCGCCACAUCCCCUAUCCGCACCUCCGUCGGACCCUCCCCCUUCCCCUACCUCGGCUCCACCACUUCCCCCUCCCCCUCCCCAGACCUGCGUCGAUCUUCUCCCUUCCUCCGAAACUCCGUCCCAUCAUCGCCUUCCUCCAGAUCUAUGCUGCCGCCGUGAGGUGUCCCUCCGCCUCAGCCGUGAGGUGUCCCUUCGUCCUCGUCGCCUACCUCCAGAUCUAUGCCGCCGUCAUUAUCUCGUUUUUGUAGGGUCUUGUGCUGGUAAAAUUAGGGCUUUGUUGGGAUUGAAGGGGGGUUUUCAGAGGGAUGGGGUUUGAGGGAGAGACGAUGGCGGCAGCUUCGUCGCGUCGCUGCUGUCGCCGAAAUUUCAGAGAUGGGAGGUCGGCGAUUGUUGAGGAAGAAGGAGAAGUGUCUGCUGUCGCCAUAAUUUCAGAGAGGGGAGGUCAGCCGAGUUUGUGAGAGAAGAAGAGAAAAUGGGUUGUUCAGUGGUGGCAGGGGGCGGCGCCGGCGAUGGUGGCGGCGAGUGGGGUGGAGGGGAAUUAGGGUUUGGGAGUGGGGGAGGUUGGGGAAGAUGAUGCGGGUGAUUUUUUUUCUUUUCUUUUUUUAAGUUUUUUUCAACAUGUCAAAAAUAGCUUAGGUGUCUAUUUCCGCCUGCCACUACAUCAAUUCUGGCUGUCACCAUGUCAUUUCCGGCGCUGACGCCAAAAAAAAAAAAUCGGUGAUCGGAUAAAAAUAAGACAAAAAUAAAAGGUUAUGUAUUUAAAAGUAAA